This 499-nucleotide long non-coding RNA is filed under the name Olea europaea (common olive). RNAcentral's name for it is "long non-coding RNA (OEUR_LNC000149)". Lineage: Eukaryota; Viridiplantae; Streptophyta; Magnoliopsida; Lamiales; Oleaceae. The record is from RNAcentral.
UCCUUUGGCGGUUGAUGGUCCAAAGUAGAAAGGGUGCAGAGGAGGCAUCUCGAUCAGCUGAUCCUAAAGAAAUGAUCAAAUUAUAUGUAGAAGAGUGAUGUUUCUGUUGUAGGGAUUUAAGGAAACUUGAAGGUACUUAGACAUGUUAAACCUCUCCAAUGUAAUAAAUAUGUUGAAGUUGUCCAAGAUUUAGUCGACUCAUUUCUUGUAUAUAGAUCAUGAAGUGUGUUAUUGAUCGUGAAGUGUGUUAUUGAAGGUACUUAGACAUGUUAAACCUCUCCAAUGUAAUAAAUAUGUUGAAGUUGUCCAAGAUUUAGUCGACUCGUUUCUUGUAUAUAGAUCGUGAAGUGUGUUAUUGAUCGUGAAGUGUGUUAUUGAAGGUACUUAGACAUGUUAAACCUCUCCAAUGUAAUAAAUAUGUUGAAGUUGUCCAAGAUUUAGUCGACUUUUUUAAUUUUUUUUUUUUUUUUUUUUUUUUUUUUUUGUGGUGAUUUUGUCU